This 217-nucleotide long non-coding RNA is filed under the name Elaeis guineensis (African oil palm). Its description in RNAcentral is "long non-coding RNA (EGUI_LNC000510)". The record is from RNAcentral. Lineage: Eukaryota; Viridiplantae; Streptophyta; Magnoliopsida; Arecales; Arecaceae.
UUGAUUUUAAGAAAACUCAAAGAUGGCGGAUCCCAAAUAAUAAACACCACACAAAUCAUCAUCUGAGCAGCCGAAUAGUCCCAGGUGUCCCAAGUAAUAGAGAUCAAACUAGUCGAUAGCACACCUAUAGCCUUCCUAGCCUACACAAAUGCCCUCUCCAGGGUAGAUCUUGCCGACUAUCAAGAUGCCUCAAAGGUUUUCCUAUUCCUGACAAGCC